UACAGAGGGUGCAAGCGUUAAUCGGAAUUACUGGGCGUAAAGCGUGCGUAGACGGUUAUGUAAGUCAGAUGUGAAAGCCCCGGGCUUAACCUGGGAAUGGCAUUUGAGACUGCAUAGCUAGGGUGCGGAAGAGGGAAGCGGAAUUUCCGGUGUAGCGGUGAAAUGCGUAGAUAUACGGAAGGAACACCAGUGGCGAAAGCGGCUUCCUGGUCCAGCACCGACGUUCAGGCACGAAAGCGUGGGGAGCAAACAGG
RNAcentral lists this ribosomal RNA (254 nucleotides) under uncultured bacterium. Its description in RNAcentral is "partial 16S ribosomal RNA". It matches the Rfam family "Bacterial small subunit ribosomal RNA", at positions 524 to 776 of the family's 1533-position model. The record is from RNAcentral.